Molecule: ribosomal RNA, 450 nt
Filed under: uncultured bacterium
Lineage: Bacteria
Description: partial 16S ribosomal RNA
Rfam family: Bacterial small subunit ribosomal RNA
Source: RNAcentral
CCUACGGGCGGCUGCAGUGGGGAAUAUUGGACAAUGGGGGCAACCCUGAUCCAGCGACGCCGCGUGUGUGAAGAAGGCCUGCGGGUUGUAAAGCACUUUUAGUGGGGAGGCAGGUCUGCGACCUAACACGUCGUGGACUUGACUUAACCCACAGAAAAAGCACCGGCUAACUCUGUGCCAGCAGCCGCGGUAAUACAGAGGGUGCAAGCGUUAAGCGGAGUGAGUGGGGGUGAUGCCGUAAGAGGGGUGUGAAAGCCCCGGGCUCAACCGGGGAAUUGCAUUCGAGACUGCGAAGCUGGAGUGCGGAAGAGGGAAGUGGAAUUUCCGGUGUAGCGGUGAAAUGCGUAGAUAUCGGAAGGAACAUCAGUGGCGAAAGCGACUUCCUGGUCCAGCACUGACGCUCAGGCACGAAAGCGUGGGGAGCAAACAGGAUUAGAUACCCCUGUAGUC